This 553-nucleotide ribosomal RNA is filed under the name Amolops cf. ricketti KR-2003. RNAcentral's name for it is "partial 16S ribosomal RNA". It matches the Rfam family "Bacterial large subunit ribosomal RNA", at positions 1829 to 2597 of the family's 2925-position model. The record is from RNAcentral. Lineage: Eukaryota; Metazoa; Chordata; Amphibia; Anura; Ranidae.
CGCCUCUUGACCAAAUAUAAGAGGUCCAGCCUGCCCACUGACAUAGUUUAACGGCCGCGGUACCCUAACCGUGCGAAGGUAGCAUAAUCACUUGUUCUUUAAAUAAGGACUUGUAUCAACGGCAUCACGAGGACUAUACUGUCUCCUUUCUCCAAUCAGUGAAACUGAUCUCCCCGUGAAGAAGCGGGGAUUAACCUAUAAGACGAGAAGACCCCAUGGAGCUUAAAGCCCACAAACACCUCUGCGCACUUAAACCAAUUUAGCCUAAGAGACCUGUGAGCCAGCUUUAGGUUGGGGGGACCGCGGAGAAAAACCUAACCUCCACGACAAACGGGCAAACGCCCUAAUCCAUGAAUCACAAUUCUAAGAAUCAAUAAACUGAUGUUUAAUGACCCGAUUAUUCGAUCAACGAACCAAGUUACCCUGGGGAUAACAGCGCAAUCUACUUUAAGAGCUCAUAUCGACAAGUAGGUUUACGACCUCGAUGUUGGAUCAGGGUAUCCCAGUGGUGCAGCCGCUACUAAAGGUUCGUUUGUUCAACGAUUAAAACCCU